UACCUGGCACAGGUUUUACAAAGAAAAUAUGGUCAAGAUAUCAUUGUAUAUACAAUAUUUCAUAGCGUGGCUAGAAAACUUGGUCUAAGUUGCGAUGUACUAUAUAUUGAAGAUAAAUUCUGUAUAUUUUGGAAACCAGAAUUCGUCACGAAUAAUUUAGAAAAUGCAAGAUGUUUUUACAUAAAAGACGAGAAAUUCCCGAAUUGUCUUCAUGAUUGUCUACAAGAAUACAAGUCUUAUAAAACAUAUAAUGACGUCAACAAAAUAGAAACUGAACAGAUAUUGACCAUGAUAAGAACUUUAGUUAUAAAAGACCAUCAAAUAAACGAUUUGAUGUUAGUCAAAGUGAAAUGUAAUAUGUAAGAAACAUACGCGCACUAAUGUAAUUGCAUAUUAGUAUAUAACAUAUACCAUUGUAAAAUAAAGAACAUUGUGAGAUAUUUUCAGAUAACAUUAUGUAUAAUUUACAAUUUUCUAUAAUUUAACGUGUUUUGAGUGUUUAUUGAGACAUUUAUUCACAAAAAAUCAAUUAAAGUAAAAAUUUUACAGUUUCUGUCUUAUUUUAAAUAGUAUAACACAUAAAUGAAAACGUGAAAUAUGCUGUAGAAAUUGUCAUAAUAUAUAAUCCUACAGAAUAAUCUACAGAUUCGAACCAACAUAAUAGAUAAUAGGAUGUUAUUGACAUAUACAUAUAUACAUACAUGUUCGACAAUUGAGA
This is a non-coding RNA of Nylanderia fulva, 718 nucleotides long. NCBI's taxonomy places the organism in Eukaryota, Metazoa, Arthropoda, Insecta, Hymenoptera, Formicidae. The record is from RefSeq and is a predicted model, not a curated record.